Molecule: ribosomal RNA, 523 nt
Filed under: Exophthalmus scalaris
Lineage: Eukaryota; Metazoa; Arthropoda; Insecta; Coleoptera; Curculionidae
Description: partial 12S ribosomal RNA
Source: RNAcentral
GUUACACUUAUAAUGCUAUAAAAAAGGUUYGGCAAUUAAUUAAUAAAUGGAGGUUAAUAAUUUUUUAACUUUAUUGGGUGAAAUUUUUAAAGUUGAAGUAUUAUUUUUAAUUAUUAUAUGAGGUUAAUAAGUUUAGGUUAUAGACUAGGAUUAGAUACCCUAUUAUUCUAAAUUGAAUUCUGGUUGCUUGGUUAGUAGUAGUUAUGUUCUUGAAAAUUAAAGAAGUUGGCGGUAUUUUAGUCUAUUCAGAGGAACUUGUCCUAUAAUCGAUGGUCCACGAUUUUUUUUACUUAUUUUAAAUAGUUUGCAUAUCGCCGUGGGUUGAAUAUUUUUGAAAAAUUGAAAUGUUCAAUAAUUUUUAUAAAAAAAAAAUUCAGGUCAAGAUGUAGCUUAUAGAUAAGAAGAGAUGGGUUACAAUGAGUGUACUUAUACGAAUUGAUAAAUGAAAUUUUAUUAUGAAGGUGGAUUUGAUGGUAAUUUUAUUUAAAUUUAUAAAAUGAUUUAAGCUCUAAAAUAUGUACAU